GACGAACGCUGGCGGCGUGCUUAACACAUGCAAGUCGAACGGAAAGGCCCUGCUUUUGUGGGGUGCUCGAGUGGCGAACGGGUGAGUAACACGUGAGUAACCUGCCCUUGACUUUGGGAUAACUUCAGGAAACUGGGGCUAAUACCGGAUAGCAGCUCCUGCUGCAUGGUGGGGGUUGGAAAGUUUCGGCGGUUGGGGAUGGACUCGCGGCUUAUGAGCUUGUUGGUGGGGUAGUGGCUUACCAAGGCUUUGACGGGUAGCCGGCCUGAGAGGGUGACCGGCCACAUUGGGACUGAGAUACGGCCCAGACUCCUACGGGAGGCAGCAGUGGGGAAUAUUGCACAAUGGGCGGAAGCCUGAUGCAGCAACGCCGCGUGCGGGAUGACGGCCUUCGGGUUGUAAACCGCUUUCGCCUGUGACGAAGCGUGAGUGACGGUAAUGGGUAAAGAAGCACCGGCUAACUACGUG
RNAcentral lists this ribosomal RNA (468 nucleotides) under uncultured bacterium. Its description in RNAcentral is "partial 16S ribosomal RNA". It matches the Rfam family "Bacterial small subunit ribosomal RNA", at positions 28 to 507 of the family's 1533-position model. The record is from RNAcentral.